AAAUAGCCGCAGUAUUUUGACUGUGCGAAGGUAGCAUAAUCAUUUGUCUUUUAAUUGAAGGCUUGUAUGAAUGGUUGGAUGAGGGAAUUUCUUUCUUUAUAUUAAAUAUUGAAUUUAAUUUUUUAGUUAAAAAGCUAAAAUUUAUAAUGGGACGAGAAGACCCUAUAGAAUUUUAUUUAUUAAUUUGUAAAGAUAAUUUUGGUUAUAUAUUUUUUAUAUAGAUUAAUAAUUUUGUUGGGGCGACAGUGAAAUUUUAUUAACUUUCAUAAUUUAUUGUUUACUAAUUUGUAUUUUAAAGAUCCUAUUUUAAGGAUAUUUAGAUUAAAUUACCUUAGGGAUAACAGCGUAAUUUUUCUGGAGAGUUCUUAUUGAUGGAGAAGUUUGCGACCUCGAUGUUGGAUUAAAAUUAGAUUUAA
RNAcentral lists this ribosomal RNA (416 nucleotides) under Tolumnia antennata. RNAcentral's name for it is "partial large subunit ribosomal RNA". Lineage: Eukaryota; Metazoa; Arthropoda; Insecta; Hemiptera; Pentatomidae. The record is from RNAcentral.